This 253-nucleotide ribosomal RNA is filed under the name uncultured bacterium. RNAcentral describes it as "partial 16S ribosomal RNA". It matches the Rfam family "Bacterial small subunit ribosomal RNA", at positions 524 to 776 of the family's 1533-position model. The record is from RNAcentral.
UGCGUAGGCAGCGAGCGUUGUUCGGAGUUACUGGGCGUAAAGGGUGUGUAGGCGGUUGUUUAAGUUUGGUGUGAAAUCUCCCGGCUCAACUGGGAGGGUGCGCCGAAUACUGAGCGACUAGAGUGCGGGAGAGGAAAGUGGAAUUCCUGGUGUAGCGGUGAAAUGCGUAGAUAUCAAGAGGAACACCUGAGGUGAAGACGGGUUGCUGGGCUGACACUGACGCUGAGGCGCGAAAGCUAGGGUAGCAAACGGG